RNAcentral lists this ribosomal RNA (500 nucleotides) under uncultured bacterium. RNAcentral describes it as "partial 16S ribosomal RNA". It matches the Rfam family "Bacterial small subunit ribosomal RNA", at positions 29 to 523 of the family's 1533-position model. The record is from RNAcentral.
AUUGAACGCUGGCGGCAUGCCUUACACAUGCAAGUCGAACGGCAGCACGGGUGCUUGCACCUGGUGGCGAGUGGCGAACGGGUGAGUAAUACAUCGGAACGUACCUUAUCGUGGGGGAUAACGCAGCGAAAGCUGUGCUAAUACCGCAUACGCCCUGAGGGGGAAAGCGGGGGAUCGAAAGACCUCGCGCGAUUAGAGCGGCCGAUGCCUGAUUAGCUUGUUGGUGGGGUAAAAGCCCACCAAGCGACGAUCAGUAGCUGGUCUGAGAGGACGAUCAGCCACACUGGGACUGAGACAAGGCCCAGACUCCGACGGGAGGCAGCAGUGGGGAAUUUUGGACGAAGGGGGCAACCCUGACCCAGCAAUGCCGCGUGCGUGAAGAAGGCCUUCGGGUUGUAAAGCUCUUUUGUCAGGGAAGAAACACCGGCUCUAACACAGUCCGGGAAUGACGGUACCUGAAGAAUAAGCACCGGCUAACUACGUGCCAGCCGCCGCCGUAA